ACGCUACGGACUUAAAUUUUGAGCCUUAGUAGAGAAAUCUACUAAGUGACUGUUUUCACAUUCAGGGAAACCUAAGGUUUGAGAUAUGAGGUAAUCCUGAGCCAAAUUUUAGUUAUGAAAUAGGUGCAGAGACUCGAAGGAAACUAUCCUAACGAAAUUUUUUUCUCUAUUUUUUUUAUUACGAGUAUUGAUUCAGUGCACAGUAUAAUAAAAAUCUCUGAAUACUAAUAUUCAUAUUAUUUUUUAAAUAAAUUAUGACGAGGAUAAAGAUAGAGUCCUUUUUUACAAUCUAUAUAAUUUUUAUUUAUUAGGUAAUUGUAAAAAGAAAAUCCGUUGGCUUUAAUAGACCUUGAGGGUUCAAGUCCCUCUACCCCCA
RNAcentral lists this transfer RNA (376 nucleotides) under Marchesinia brachiata. RNAcentral's name for it is "partial tRNA-Leu". The stretch from base 4 to 296 matches the Rfam family "Group I catalytic intron". From Rfam's summary of the family: Group I catalytic introns are large self-splicing ribozymes. They catalyse their own excision from mRNA, tRNA and rRNA precursors in a wide range of organisms. The record is from RNAcentral. Lineage: Eukaryota; Viridiplantae; Streptophyta; Jungermanniopsida; Porellales; Lejeuneaceae.